Molecule: ribosomal RNA, 427 nt
Filed under: uncultured bacterium
Lineage: Bacteria
Description: bacterial SSU rRNA
Rfam family: Bacterial small subunit ribosomal RNA
Source: RNAcentral
GGGCCCGCACAAGCGGUGGAGUAUGUGGUUUAAUUCGAUGCAACGCGAAGAACCUUACCAGGGUUUGACAUCCUGCGAAUCUCUUGGAAACGAGAGAGUGCCUUCGGGAACGCAGUGACAGGUGGUGCAUGGCUGUCGUCAGCUCGUGUCGUGAGAUGUUGGGUUAAGUCCCGCAACGAGCGCAACCCACGUCUUUAGUUGCCAGCAUUUAGUUGGGCACUCUAGAGAGACUGCCGGUGAUAAACCGGAGGAAGGUGUGGAUGACGUCAAGUCAUCAUGCCCCUUACAUCCUGGGCUACACACGUACUACAAUGGCGCAUACAGAGGGCGGCCAACUUGCGAAAGUGAGCGAAUCCCAAAAAAGUGCGUCGUAGUCCGGAUUGGAGUCUGCAACUCGACUCCAUGAAGUCGGAAUCGCUAGUAAUCG